CUCAUGAGUGUCUGAAACCGUCAGUUCACUGGCAGAAAUGGAGAUACGUGGUUCCUGAUAACCUGGCACUUGCCUUUUCAAAGCCACCAUUUCCUCUAUCCUCUGGGCUGUCACAAAUCCUCCUCUGCCCCGCAGGAGUGCCCCUUGGAACCACAUUCACCACUUCUCUGCCCCUGACCCAGGCUGGUUCCCAGGCCUUGGGGUCCUAGUGUGGACCUCCUGGAGGUAAUUAAUGCAGUUUUCCAGAUUAAUUCGAAGUACCCCACGACUACACGCUAAUGAAACUAGAGGAGGCACAGCCUCAGCUCCAUGCAGCAUGGAUGCACAAGAGCAGAAUCUCCAUGGGACGCCUUUCUGGAGCAUCAGUAUUACUGCAGGAUUUGGAAGAAACAAAUUCAAAUAAUUUCCAAAGUAAGACACUGGAAAUUUAAGAGAAAGUUGGAAAGUCAUCUGCCUUUAAUACUUUUUUUCUCCAAGAAAAAAAAGAAACUCUAAGGAGAACCUAUUUUUCAUUCUUCUAGGUAGUUAAAAUUAGAAAUCACAGCAAGUCAAUAGAAAGCUCUGCCUCACCAGUCUCCUAAAUCACAA
RNAcentral lists this long non-coding RNA (588 nucleotides) under Pongo abelii (Sumatran orangutan). Its description in RNAcentral is "lincRNA". Lineage: Eukaryota; Metazoa; Chordata; Mammalia; Primates; Hominidae. The record is from RNAcentral.